GUAAUAUUAUUACAAGAAGAAACACAUAUAGAGCAGAAAUACCAAAAUAUAUUGCCUGAAAUGAUCAACAUUGUGAUAGAAUUUAUUUUGAACAGACGUUUAUUUUUCUGUCCCCUUUAAGUAACACUGCAUAUGGUGAAUUCUCAUAUUUGUCACUCCACCUGUAAUUUGACUAAGAUUACAUUUCUGUUUGUUUCAAUGAUAAUAAUUACUCAGUAAUAGAAGUUGCAAAGGGAAUUUUUGAACUAUAACUUCGAAAACACACUGACCUGCAGUCUUCUUUUCCAGGGAUUUGGAGCUCCAAAUCCUCU
This 311-nucleotide unclassified non-coding RNA is filed under the name Hevea brasiliensis (rubber tree). Lineage: Eukaryota; Viridiplantae; Streptophyta; Magnoliopsida; Malpighiales; Euphorbiaceae. The record is from RNAcentral.